AUCCAGCUGACGAGUCCCAAAUAGGACUAAAUGUGCAUCCUGGAU
RNAcentral lists this non-coding RNA (45 nucleotides) under Trichobilharzia regenti. Lineage: Eukaryota; Metazoa; Platyhelminthes; Trematoda; Strigeidida; Schistosomatidae. The record is from RNAcentral.